Molecule: ribosomal RNA, 468 nt
Filed under: uncultured bacterium
Lineage: Bacteria
Description: partial 16S ribosomal RNA
Rfam family: Bacterial small subunit ribosomal RNA
Source: RNAcentral
GACGAACGCUGGCGGCGUGCUUAACACAUGCAAGUCGAACGGAAAGGCCCUGCUUUUGUGGGGUGCUCGAGUGGCGAACGGGUGAGUAACACGUGAGUAACCUGCCCUUGACUUUGGGAUAACUUCAGGAAACUGGGGCUAAUACCGGAUAGGAGCUCCUGCUGCAUGGUGGGGGUUGGAAAGUUUCGGCGGUUGGGGAUAGACUCGCGGCUUAUCAGCUUGUUGGUGGGGUAGUGGCUUACCAAGGCUUUGACGGGUAGCCGGCCUGAGAGGGUGACCGGCCACAUUGGGACUGAGAUACGGCCCAGACUCCUACGGGAGGCAGCAGUGGGGAAUAUUGCACAAUGGGCGGAAGCCUGGUGCAGCAACGCCGCGUGCGGGAUGACGGCCUUCGGGUUGUAAACCGCUUUCGCCUGUGACGAAGCGUGAGUGACGGUAAUGGGUAAAGAAGCACCGGCUAACUACGUG